GGCGCUAUCGUCUAUCGGUUAGGACAGCGGGUUUUCAUCCCGUAAAGCGGGGUUCAACUCCCCGUAGCGUCACCA
This 75-nucleotide transfer RNA is filed under the name Candidatus Altimarinota bacterium. Its description in RNAcentral is "tRNA-Glu". It matches the Rfam family "tRNA". Rfam says of the family: Transfer RNA (tRNA) molecules are approximately 80 nucleotides in length. Their secondary structure includes four short double-helical elements and three loops (D, anti-codon, and T loops). Further hydrogen bonds mediate the characteristic L-shaped molecular structure. tRNAs have two regions of fundamental functional importance: the anti-codon, which is responsible for specific mRNA codon recognition, and the 3' end, to which the tRNAs corresponding amino acid is attached (by aminoacyl-tRNA synthetases). tRNAs cope with the degeneracy of the genetic code in two manners: having more than one tRNA (with a specific anti-codon) for a particular amino acid; and 'wobble' base-pairing, i.e. permitting non-standard base-pairing at the 3rd anti-codon position. The record is from RNAcentral. Lineage: Bacteria; Candidatus Altimarinota.